GAAAGAAAUAGACAAAAAACACAUGAUAGACAUUCACAGACUUGAUUUGAAAAAUUACGAAGGGCAGCCCGGUGCAUGUAGCUCCCGCUUGCGCAGGGUCCGGGGAAGGGUCCGACCACUUUGGGUCUUUUGUACGCAGCCUUUCCCUGCAUUUCUGCAAGAGGCUGUUUCCAGGACUCGAACCCGUGACCUCAUGGUCACAAGGCAACAGCUGUACCGCUGCGCCAAGGCUCCCCUUCCGAUUUGAAAAAUUACGAAGACAACCAGAAAACAUAUUUGCAAUUAAGUAAUGAUGUAUGUCAGUGUUAAUUGCUUAAUCUGAAAGACGUGAAAGUUGAACCGACAGGGGAUAUGAUAUCCUUGAGAGGGGCUAGAACAUAACCGGGAUCUGUUUGUAGGGUACGUGUCAAGUACUGUUUUCAGAAAGUAAUAUUAUACGAAUGAAUGAAUACGUGUCAUAUACACUGACAAAUACAUGACUCCGCGACGCAUGUUGCUUUGUCGUCUCGGGAGCGCCCGGACGACUCGGUGUAGUCCGGCCCAUUCUAAAAUCUGAAUGGGCUUGCAAAGCCCGUAAGCUAUCUGCACUGCACAAACACCAAUUUGAACUACUCUAAAAAAACACCAAUUUGAACUUGGGUUGAGGAUCCUCUGGAAUAAAAAAAAAACUGUACCCUAAACAACUGGAUUCGAUGUGACCGAUCAUACGGAUUUUGAGUGUCUGUUCUCGCAUAUCCGUUCAUAUGGAUCUGAUGAGUUUUUGUCAGUGUGUUAUGAUGCGUUUGUUGGUCUGAUUUUGUGUGACUUUGGAGUCAUUCUCUAAUGUUCUUA
RNAcentral lists this long non-coding RNA (831 nucleotides) under Brachypodium distachyon (stiff brome). RNAcentral describes it as "long non-coding RNA (BDIS_LNC000575)". The record is from RNAcentral. Lineage: Eukaryota; Viridiplantae; Streptophyta; Magnoliopsida; Poales; Poaceae.